AUCCUGGCUCAGAACGAACGCUGGCGGCAGGCUUAACACAUGCAAGUCGAGCGCCCCGCAAGGGGAGCGGCAGACGGGUGAGUAACGCGUGGGAACGUACCCUUUACUACGGAAUAACGCAGGGAAACUUGUGCUAAUACCGUAUGUGCCCUUCGGGGGAAAGAUUUAUCGGUAAGGGAUCGGCCCGCGUUGGAUUAGCUAGUUGGUGGGGUAAAGGCCUACCAAGGCGACGAUCCAUAGCUGGUCUGAGAGGAUGAUCAGCCACAUUGGGACUGAGACACGGCCCAAACUCCUACGGGAGGCAGCAGUGGGGAAUAUUGGACAAUGGGCGCAAGCCUGAUCCAGCCAUGCCGCGUGAGUGAUGAAGGCCCUAGGGUUGUAAAGCUCUUUCACCGGAGAAGAUAAUG
Molecule: ribosomal RNA, 407 nt
Filed under: uncultured bacterium
Lineage: Bacteria
Description: bacterial SSU rRNA
Rfam family: Bacterial small subunit ribosomal RNA
Source: RNAcentral